Molecule: long non-coding RNA, 3083 nt
Organism: Acanthochromis polyacanthus (spiny chromis)
Lineage: Eukaryota; Metazoa; Chordata; Actinopteri; Pomacentridae
Exons: 5
Source: RefSeq, a predicted model, not a curated record
UUCCCGAAGGAGUCUCAGCCAAUCAGAGCAGAGCAUGACGUCAGGCAGAAUCACGAUUUCCCCCGGGUGGAAAAUUGAACAUUCCAGGCAGUCGUGACGCUGACCUACGGGGACCGGAGCUGGAUGAGACACGUUUCCCUACUUUUUACAUUGAGCCUCUUUGCAGCAUUACGGAGGAAACCCCAGAUAUCUCCUUGAAUCGUCCUGCCUGCUUUCAUUUGGCUUUGGAGAGCAGCAGCGAGCAGACUGAGGCUUCAGCGGAUCUGCCCAGGUGACCUAGAAAGAAGAAAGAAAUGUAUAUACCAAAGGUUCCCCAGCAGAUGGUAGUGCAGCAUCGCGGAGGAGCUUCUCUCAGAACAGGAUGAAAAUGGUGCAGAAGACGAGCUGUCUGAAAAUGAACGCUGCAGAUUCUGAGGUGCUGACUGCUCCAGACAGACUGACUGGAAACGGUGGAUCCACUUCCUCCAUCUUCCUCAACGUGGAUUCCACAACUAGAACGCUGCACAUCUUGGACUCGACACAACAUCACCAGGAGCUUGUUGAUGGAAGCCAUCAAUCAUGCGGAGUUCAAGGGUUGUGCACCAGCACUGUGCUUCACGGUCACGCUCCCAGAUCCAACACUCUGCCCCCCGCCUGUCCUAGACCUUCUACAAGUGUCAUUUUGUAUCUGGCUGGCUGAUGGCUCUGUUUAUUAAAAUGCAGCUCCCCCACAAAACGGUUCUCUCUUUUCAAAGGUUAUCGAAAUAAUGGAGUUUUUUUGUUUUUUUAUUCCACUUAUUAUAUGAACACUCAUAACACAAUCAUUGCAGUGAAAUGUUGCACAAACAGAUAAAGCCUACAGUCAUGCCUAAAAAUUAAUGCCAGCAUUAGGCAUUGUGUAAAAUAUCAUGCUACCAUGGUGACAUUUGAAAAUAGAACUUCUAAACUACAAUUUCUUAAAAUUCCUUUCUGGACAUUACUUCCCGAAAAGCUCAUCUUUUCAUAUCAAAAUUACAUAUUUGAGACUUUUUUCACAUUAAAGUAGUCGUUUCCUGCCUUAUAAGGGCUUACACGUAACUGCAUCCAUUAGGAUAUGCAAAAUAUUGAAAUUUCUGCAUCUCUGUACCACCCACAGCUUGAGCACGCCGGCUCACCUACAACUCCGAAAAACUACUCAAUGCUACAUGAUGGCAAGUUGCAACAUUGGUUCAGUUCAUCCAUACAUGUCUGAACUGGAAACCGUGUUUUUGAAACUACAAUCGGUUCAGUUUUAAAGAGCAAAUGCUCAAUCAUGCUUUUGCAUUAAUUUUGGAUUCAAAUAAUAAGGUAUUGGACUCUACUAAACAUAUUCAUACUAGAAAUAUUAGACACCUACAGUUUGAACUUGUAGAAACACUGCACAUUUUGGAACUCAUCUUUAAAUAUUUUCAGUGCAAAUAAAAAAAAACCAAAAACUUUAAAGUUGAUCAGAUCAAAUUAGCAAUAUAAAAACCCUACUGGCACAAACUACAGUGUACUACGUAUUUUCUGCAACACGUGGGAUGCUGUUUUUGUUGCUAUUGUUAAUGAAAGGCCACAUGGAGGCUCUUGUAAUGCAAGAAGAGCACUUUCUCCAAAUGUUAAACUCCCUCUUUCAGUUUUAAUAGAAGGAAUAAAUACUUUCCUUUAUCCGUAAAUCAUUAUUUAAUACUAAAAUAAAUAUUUGUUCGGUCACCCUUGAACAAACACGGUAACCUGAGAUCAGUAAUGAAAAUCUGAACAAGUCAUUUUUAUAAUUUUUUUAAUUUGUGCUGUAAUAUUUUUGUACCUGAAUACAUGUUAUUUUUACUAUCCAACUCUACGCCUACAAUAACUACUACAUUGUAUUAGAAAACAGCAAAUGGAGAUGUUAACAGGAUAAAAAUUAGAUUUUUAUUAGAGGUUUUUUUUUUUUUAAAACAAUAAGAUAACAUAAAAAGGGUUAUACUGAUAACAGGCUGCUGAUUUUGGUUGGGACUAUAUCAUUGAUUGCUGCUGCUUGCAUUUUUUUUUAUUUUAAUGUGUUCACAUCAUGCAUAUCUUCUCUCCUCAGAAGGCAGCAUCACAACCUUCAGGCACGGUCUGCAACAUGCAAACAACAUCUGUAUUUGUUCUCCUCAUUUCAGUGGUGCAUUUGGCAUUUGUUUGUUGAAGACUUCCCAGAUUAACAGUUCAAAAGCAACUGAAUUAGAUCUAAAAAAUAUUUAUCUCUGUCCGUUCGAUUAAAUAUUCACAAGCCGGUAUCUUUAUGGUUACAUAUGCUAUGCAUGAGCUUGUGACUGUGAAUUGCAAAUAGCUCCCACAUUAGAGCAUUUUGCUGCAAUUAUUUGAUGAAAAGACAUCUGAAUGAAAAACUAACGAGUCCUGUUUUGAUGUAGGAAGAUUGGACGCUCCGGGGUGCACACAUGCAUUUAUACAUAUGCUUGUAUGUGCAAAGGCGUGUGUUUGUGUCUGUUACUGUGCUACAAAAGGGGUUUUAUCUGACUGUAACUAAAGACUUUCUGUGACUGUAAGAUUCCCUAGACUGCACUGAUGAUAUUCCCUAGUUAGAGAACCUGCAUGCCUUUCUUUCUGCUGUCUUUGCAUUCAGCAGCAAUGACUUGUGCAAUGUUUUAAGCCAUUUAGUCACAGUAAUGGAUGAACAGUUUGAACACAGAGACCAAUAACACAGUGAACUAUGUGAGUGGUUGCAUUAAUUGACAUAUCAUUAGUAAAACUAGCACCGAUAACAAGCAUUGUCUCUCUGGGAUUGCUGUUUCCAGAUACUGUAUGUGCAGCAUGUUGAUAAUGUGAGGCUUUGUCUUAUGAAUAAUGCUUUUGUUUGGCUAAUGGUCAGACAGAUUACCAUUAGAGGUUGGUGUAGACAUCAGAAAAUGAAUGGCCUUUGAAGGAACUGCAAAAACAGCGGUGUAACACAAGUGUGCACAGACAGGGGUAUACUUAGUAGAUGCUAAAUGCAUGAUAAAAUGGACAUAAAUAUAUACUAGGUGAUGAUUGAUGAGUUUGUACGUUGUUUUUGUGUAGUCUAUGAUUCCUUUAAAUACCACAGUGUCUUUUGAAAGGUUAAAUCAACGCUGGGAUGGAAA